This 582-nucleotide long non-coding RNA is filed under the name Mytilus galloprovincialis (Mediterranean mussel). The record is from RNAcentral. Lineage: Eukaryota; Metazoa; Mollusca; Bivalvia; Mytilida; Mytilidae.
CUUCCCUGUUCUCCUUAUUUCUUCUCUUUUUUAUAUUUUUUUCUAUUUUAUACGUGUUGGUAUCGUCUAUUGUAAUUUUUUCAAUUUCGUACCGGUAAAAGGAUCCGGCCAAAAUUUCGCCUGACAUGUCUUCUAAAACGUAUCAAUCCUGAUGGUCUCUGAUUAAUCUUUUGUAAAUCUUGAAAUAUUCCAACAUCCAAUUUUCCGAAUAACCUUUAUCAAAUACUUUUUUCAAGUGUGACACCCUCACAAUGGCUCCGGAAUUAAAUUUGAAUGUUUUCGUUCUAAUUUUCUUUUUUUUUCAGAUUUCACCGGUUUUACGUCAACUUUUUUUUUUACUGUAUGUAUCUGAUUUCAUCUUCAUUUCUCUUUGUUACAGAUGCAGGUGUUGCCCCACCUAACGAUUUGUGUGGUGUAUUGUUGAACUCUUAACUAUGUCUUGUAACACGUCUAUAUAUCUAUAAGUUUGUUUUUGCAUAAAGUAAGCGUAAAUUCUGUUUUUAAUAAUUCUGAUCACUCUUUCUGCAUAGUUGGCUUUAAUUUGACUAUUUUGUGUGUAAAAAACAUGAAUUUUUUCCUUUU